AAACUUCAGAGGUGAAUUUGGAGGUUCUAAAGUUUUCAAACUCGCCAAUGGAGGGGACAGAGAGAUCCGAAAUUUUUUUCUGAUCGAUUUUGAUAUAUUGAACGUUGAAAUCAGAGCUCGUAUGCGAAAGUUAUGGCUAUUUUACAAACAGACUCCAAAUUAGAGGACAAAAUGGUCCGAAAGUGGGAAAAAUUUGCGGCGGUGGCUAGAAAUUGAUGGAAACGGUGGGGGAAAAUACAUGAACUGGACUCUAACAAGACCUAACCAGCAAUAAGACCUCGACGAGGACACAAACUCAACACUGCGGACUCUGAAACUGAAAUAUGCAAAGGCUAUGACGUCGAAGGGUUGUAGGACAAGAAAACGAUAUGACACUGCACUUAUGGGACGAACACAAGAACACUCAAAACUAAGGGUAGAUGUGAACUUAAUGGUAUACCUAAAGCUUUGAUUCCCACAUGAUGAGAACAAGGGUGACCCGAUCUUCUAAAAGGUUCUGGUAACUCUCGAUUUGGUGGAGACGAGACACAAAUCGAUCCGGCUUCCGAACAACACGAUCCGAAACCCUGCAAUUUUUUUUAUUUUUUUGAUAUUUUUAUUUUAGUUAGAGCACCAAAGGAGUGACCACAUAAAAUUUGAGCUUAAACCAGUGAAAGACAUGGCCUACGAAAAUUUCUGAAAAUUGUGAAAAAUGUGAAAAAAACAUCAUGAGGUGAAAACUCAAACUUCAGUUGUGAAUUUGGAGGUCCUAAAAUUUGCAAACCAGCCAAGGGAGGGGACAGACAGAUCCGAAAUUUUUUUCUGAUCGAUUUUGAUAUAUGGAACAUUGAAAUCGGAGCUCGUAUGCGAAAGUUAUGGCUAUUUUACGAACGGACUCCAAAUUAGAGGACAAAACGGUGCGAAAGUGGGCAAAAUUUACGGUGGUGGCUAGAAAUUGAUGGAAACGGUGGGGGAAAUUACAUGAACUGAACUCUAACAAGACCUAACCAGCAACAAGACCUCGACGAGGACACAAACUCAACACUGCGGACUCUAAAACUGAAAUAUGCAAAGGCUAUGGCGUGGAAGGGUUGUAGGACAGAAAAACGAUAUGACACUGGACUUAUGGGACGGACACAAGAACACUCGAAACUAAGGGUAGAUUUGAACCUAAUGGUAUAUCUAAAUCUUUGAUUUCCACAUGAUGAGAAAAAGGGUGACCCGAUCUUCUGAAAGGUUCUGGUAACUCUUGAUUUGGUGGAGACGAGACACAAAUCGAUCCGGGUUCCGAACAACACGAUCCGAAACCCUACAAUUUUUUUUUAUUUUUUUGAUAUUUUUCUUUUAGUUAGAGCACCAAUGGAGUAACCACAGAAAAUUUGAGCUUAAACCAGUGAAAAACAUGGCCUACGAAAAUUUCUGAAAAUUGUGAAAAAUGUGAAAAACAUCACGAGGUGAAAACUCAAACUUCGGAGGUGAAUUUGGAGGUUCUAAAUUUUCAAACCUACCAAUGGAGUGACAAACAGAUCCAAAAUUUUUUCUGAUCGAUUUUGAUAUAUGGAACGUUGUAAACGGAGCUCGUAUGUGAAAGUUAUGGCUAUUUUACGAACGGACUCCAAGUUAGAGGACAAAACGGUCCGAAAGUGGGAAAAAUUUGCGGUGGUGGCUAGAAAUUGAUGGAAACGGUGGGGGAAAAUACAUGAACUGGACUCUAACAAGACCUAACCAGCAACAAGACCUCGACAAGGACACAAACUCAACACUGCGGACUCUGAAACUGAAAUAUGCAAAGGCUAUGACGCGGAAGGGUUGUAGGACAAGAAAACGAUAUGACACAGGACUUAUGGGACGAACCAAGAACACUCGAAACUAAAGGUAGAUGUGAACCUAACGGUAUACCUAAAGCUUUGAUUUCCACAUAUGAGAACAAGGGUGACCCGAUCUUCUGAAGUUCUGGUAACUCUCGAUUUGGUGGAGACGAGACACAAAUCGAUCCGUCUUCCGAACAACACGAUCCGAAACCCUGCAUUUUUUUUUGAUAUUUUUCUUUUAGUUAGAGCACCAAAGGAGUGACCACAGAAAAUUUGAGCUUAAACUAGUGAAAGACAUGGCCUACAAAAAUUUCUGAAAAUUAUGUAAAAUGUGAAAAAAAAACAUCACGAGGUGAAAACUCAAACUUCAGAGGUGAAUUUGGAGGUUCUAAAGUUUUCAAACUCGCCAAUGGAGGGGACAGAGAGAUCCAAAAUUUUUUUCUGAUCGAUUUUGAUAUAUUGAACGUUGAAAUCAGAGCUCGUAUGCGAAAGUUAUGGCUAUUUUACAAACAGACUCCAAAUUAGAGGACAAAAUGGUCCGAAAGUGGGAAAAAUUUACGGCGGUGGUUAGAAAUUGAUGGAAACGGUGGGGGAAAAUACAUGAACUGGACUCUAACAAGACCUAACCAGCAAUAAGACCUCGACGAGGACACAAACUCAACACUGCGGACUCUGAAACUGAAAUAUGCAAAGGCUAUGACGUGGAAGGGUUGUAGGACAAGAAACGAUAUGACACUGCACUUAUGGGACGAACACAAGAACACUCAAAACUAAGGGUAGAUGUGAACCUAAAGGUAUACCUAAAGCUUUGAUUCCCACAUGAUGAGAACAAGGGUGACCCGAUCUUCUAAAAGGUUCUGGUAACUCUCGAUUUGGUGGAGACGAGACACAAAUCGAUCCGGCUUCCGAACAACACGAUCCGAAACCCUGCAAAUUUUUUUAUUUUUUUGAUAUUUUUCUUUUAGUUAGAGCACCAAAGGAGUGACCACAGAAAAUUUGAGCUUAAACCAGUGAAAGACAUGGCCUACGAAAAUUUCUGAAAAUUGUGAAAAAUGUGAAAAAAACAUCAUGAGGUGAAAACUCAAACUUCAGUUGUGAAUUUGGAGGUCCUAAAAUUUGCAAACCAGCCAAGGGAGGGGACAGACAGAUCCGAAAUUUUUUUCUGAUCGAUUUUGAUAUAUGGAACAUUGAAAUCGGAGCUCGUAUGCGAAAGUUAUGGCUAUUUUACGAACGGACUCCAAAUUAGAGGACAAAACGGUGCGAAAGUGGGCAAAAUUUACGGUGGUGGCUAGAAAUUGAUGGAAACGGUGGGGGAAAAUACAUGAACUGGACUCUAACAAGACCUAACCAGCAACAAGACCUCGACAAGGACACAAACUCAACACUGCGGACUCUGAAACUGAAAUAUGCAAAGGCUAUGACGCGGAAGGGUUGUAGGACAAGAAAACGAUAUGACACAGGAGUUAUGGGACGAACCAAGAACACUCGAAACUAAAGGUAGAUGUGAACCUAACGGUAUACCUAAAGCUUUGAUUUCCACAUAUGAGAACAAGGGUGAACCGAUCUUCUAAAAGGUUCUGGUAACUCUCGAUUUGGUGGAGACGAGACACAAAUCGAUCCGGGUUCCGAACAACACGAUCCGAAACCCUGCAAUUUUUUUUAUUUUUUUUGAUAUUUUUCUUUUAGUUAGAGCACCAAAGGAGUAACCACAGAAAAUUUGAGCUUAAACCAGUGAAAAACAUGGCCUACGAAAAUUUCUGAAAAUUGUGAAAAAUGUGAAAAACAUCACGAGGUGAAAACUCAAACUUCGGAGGUGAAUUUGGAGGUUCUAAAUUUUCAAACCUACCAAUGGAGUGACAAACAGAUCCAAAAUUUUUUCUGAUCGAUUUUGAUAUAUGGAACGUUGUAAACGGAGCUCGUAUGUGAAAGUUAUGGCUAUUUUACGAACGGACUCCAAGUUAGAGGACAAAACGGUCCGAAAGUGGGAAAAAUUUGCGGUGGUGGCUAGAAAUUGAUGGAAACGGUGGGGGAAAAUACAUGAACUGGACUCUAACAAGACCUAACCAGCAACAAGACCUCGACAAGGACACAAACUCAACACUGCGGACUCUGAAACUGAAAUAUGCAAAGGCUAUGACGCGGAAGGGUUGUAGGACAAGAAAACGAUAUGACACAGGACUUAUGGGACGAACCAAGAACACUCGAAACUAAAGGUAGAUGUGAACCUAACGGUAUACCUAAAGCUUUGAUUUCCACAUAUGAGAACAAGGGUGACCCGAUCUUCUGAAGUUCUGGUAACUCUCGAUUUGGUGGAGACGAGACACAAAUCGAUCCGUCUUCCGAACAACACGAUCCGAAACCCUGCAUUUUUUUUUGAUAUUUUUCUUUUAGUUAGAGCACCAAAGGAGUGACCACAGAAAAUUUGAGCUUAAACUAGUGAAAGACAUGGCCUACAAAAAUUUCUGAAAAUUAUGUAAAAUGUGAAAAAAAAACAUCACGAGGUGAAAACUCAAACUUCAGAGGUGAAUUUGGAGGUUCUAAAGUUUUCAAACUCGCCAAUGGAGGGGACAGAGAGAUCCAAAAUUUUUUUCUGAUCGAUUUUGAUAUAUUGAACGUUGAAAUCAGAGCUCGUAUGCGAAAGUUAUGGCUAUUUUACAAACAGACUCCAAAUUAGAGGACAAAAUGGUCCGAAAGUGGGAAAAAUUUGCGGCGGUGGCUAGAAAUUGAUGGAAACGGUGGGGGAAAAUACAUGAACUGGACUCUAACAAGACCUAACCAGCAAUAAGACCUCGACGAGGACACAAACUCAACACUGCGGACUCUGAAACUGAAAUAUGCAAAGGCUAUGACGUGGAAGGGUUGUAGGACAAGAAAACGAUAUGACACUGCACUUAUGGGACGAACACAAGAACACUCAAAACUAAGGGUAGAUGUGAACCUAAUGGUAUACCUAAAGCUUUGAUUCCCACAUGAUGAGAACAAGGGUGACCCGAUCUUCUAAAAGGUUCUGGUAACUCUCGAUUUGGUGGAGACGAGACACAAAUCGAUCCGGCUUCCGAACAACACGAUCCGAAACCCUGCAAUUUUUUUUAUUUUUUUGAUAUUUUUCUUUUAGUUAGAGCACCAAAGGAGUGACCACAGAAAAUUUGAGCUUAAACCAGUGAAAGACUUGGCCUACGAAAAUUUCUGAAAAUUAUGUAAAAUGUGAAAAAAAAACAUCACAAGGUGAAAACUCAAAAUUCAGAGGUGAAUUUGGAGGUUCUAAAGUUUUCAAACUCGCCAAUAGAGGGGACAGAGAGAUCCGAAAUUUUUUUCUGAUCGACUUUGAUAUAUUGAACGUUGAAAUCAGAGCUCGUAUGCGAAAGUUAUGGCUAUUUUACAAACAGACUCCAAAUUAGAGGACAAAAUGGUCCGAAAGUGGGAAAAAUUUGCGGCGGUGGCUACAAAUUGAUGGAAACGGUGGGGGAAAAUACAUGAACUGGACUCUAACAAGACCUAACCAGCAAUAAGACCUCGACGAGGACACAAACUCAACGCUGCGGACUCUGAAACUGAAAUAUGCAAAGGCUAUGACGUGGAAGGGUUGUAGGACAAGAAAACGAUAUGACACUGCACUUAUGGGACGAACACAAGAACACUCAAAACUAAGGCUAGAUGUGAACCUAAUGGUAUACCUAAAGCUUUGAUUCCCACAUGAUGAGAACAAGGGUGACCCGAUCUUCUAAAAGGUUCUGGUAACUCUCGAUUUGGUGCAGACGAGACACAAAUCGAUCCGGCUUNNNNNNNNNNNNNNNNNNNNNNNNNNNNNNNNNNNNNNNNNNNNNNNNNNNNNNNNNNNNNNNNNNNNNNNNNNNNNNNNNNNNNNNNNNNNNNNNNNNNAAACAUCAUGAGGUGAAAACUCAAACUUCAGUUGUGAAUUUGGAGGUCCUCAAAUUUUCAAACCAACCAAGGGAGGGGACAGACAGAUCCGAAAUUUUUUUCUGAUCGAUUUUGAUAUAUGGAACAUUGAAAUCGGAGCUCGUAUGCGAAAGUUAUGGCUAUUUUACAAACGGACUCCAAAUUAGAGGACAAAACGGUGCGAAAGUGGGCAAAAUUUACGGUGGUGGCUAGAAAUUGAUGGAAACGGUGGGGGAAAAUACAUGAACUGGACUCUAACAAGACCUAACCAGCAACAAGACCUCGACGAGGACACAAACUCAACACUGCGGACUCUAAAACUGAAAUAUGCAAAGGCUAUGACGUGGAAGGGUUGUAGGACAAGAAAACGAUAUGACACUGCACUUAUGGGACGAACACAAGAACACUCAAAACUAAGGGUAGAUGUGAACCUAAUGGUAUACCUAAAGCUUUGAUUCCCACAUGAUGAGAACAAGGGUGACCCGAUCUUCUAAAAGGUUCUGGUAACUCUCGAUUUGGUGGAGACGAGACACAAAUCGAUCCGGCUUCCGAACAACACGAUCCGAAACCCUGCAAUUUUUUUUAUUUUUUUGAUAUUUUUCUUUUAGUUAGAGCACCAAAGGAGUGACCACAGAAAAUUUGAGCUUAAACCAGUGAAAGACUUGGCCUACGAAAAUUUCUGAAAAUUAUGUAAAAUGUGAAAAAAAAACAUCACAAGGUGAAAACUCAAAAUUCAGAGGUGAAUUUGGAGGUUCUAAAGUUUUCAAACUCGCCAAUAGAGGGGACAGAGAGAUCCGAAAUUUUUUUCUGAUCGACUUUGAUAUAUUGAACGUUGAAAUCAGAGCUCGUAUGCGAAAGUUAUGGCUAUUUUACAAACAGACUCCAAAUUAGAGGACAAAAUGGUCCGAAAGUGGGAAAAAUUUGCGGCGGUGGCUACAAAUUGAUGGAAACGGUGGGGGAAAAUACAUGAACUGGACUCUAACAAGACCUAACCAGCAAUAAGACCUCGACGAGGACACAAACUCAACGCUGCGGACUCUGAAACUGAAAUAUGCAAAGGCUAUGACGUGGAAGGGUUGUAGGACAAGAAAACGAUAUGACACUGCACUUAUGGGACGAACACAAGAACACUCAAAACUAAGGCUAGAUGUGAACCUAAUGGUAUACCUAAAGCUUUGAUUCCCACAUGAUGAGAACAAGGGUGACCCGAUCUUCUAAAAGGUUCUGGUAACUCUCGAUUUGGUGGAGACGAGACACAAAUCGAUCCGGCUUCCGAACAACACGAUCCGAAACCCUGCAAAUUUUUUUAUUUUUUAGAUAUUUUUCUUUUAGUUAGAGCACCAAAGGAGUGACCACAGAAAAUUUGAGCUUAAACCAGUGAAAGACAUGGCCUACGAAAAUUGCUGAAAAUUGUGAAAAAUGUGAAAAAAACAUCAUGAGGUGAAAACUCAAACUUCAGUUGUGAAUUUGGAGGUCCUAAAAUUUGCAAACCAGCCAAGGGAGGGGACAGACAGAUCCGAAAUUUUUUUCUGAUCGAUUUUGAUAUAUGGAACAUUGAAAUCGGAGCUCGUAUGCGAAAGUUAUGGCUAUUUUACGAACGGACUCCAAAUUAGAGGACAAAACGGUGCGAAAGUGGGCAAAAUUUACGGUGGUGGCUAGAAAUUGAUGGAAACGGUGGGGGAAAAUACAUGAACUGGACUCUAACAAGACCUAACCAGCAACAAGACCUCGACGAGGACACAAACUCAACACUGCGGACUCUAAAACUGAAAUAUGCAAAGGCUAUGGCGUGGAAGGGUUGUAGGACAGAAAAACGAUAUGACACUGGACUUAUGGGACGAACACAAGAACACUCGAAACUAAGGGUAGAUUUGAACCUAAUGGUAUAUCUAAAUCUUUGAUUUCCACAUGAUGAGAACAAGGGUGACCCGAUCUUCUGAAAGGUUCUGGUAACUCUUGAUUUGGUGGAGACGAGACACAAAUCGAUCCGGGUUCCGAACAACACGAUCCGAAACCCUACAAUUUUUUUUUAUUUUUUUGAUAUUUUUCUUUUAGUUAGAGCACCAAUGGAGUAACCACAGAAAAUUUGAGCUUAAACCAGUGAAAAACAUGGCCUACGAAAAUUUCUGAAAAUUGUGAAAAAUGUGAAAAAGCAUCACGAGGUGGAAACUCAAACUUCAGAGGUGAAUUUGGAGGUUCUAAAUUUUCAAACCUACCAAUGGAGUGACAAACAGAUCCAAAAUGUUUUCUGAUCGAUUUUGAUAUAUGGAACGUUGUAAACGGAGCUCGUAUGUGAAAGUUAUGGCUAUUUUACGAACGGACUCCAAGUUAGAGGACAAAACGGUCCGAAAGUGGGAAAAAUUUGCGGUGGUGGCUAGAAAUUGAUGGAAACGGUGGGGGAAAAUACAUGAACUGGACUCUAACAAGACCUAACCAGCAACAAGACCUCGACGAGGACACAAACUCAACACUUCGGACUCUAAAACUGAAAUAUGCAAAGGCUAUGGCGUGGAAGGGUUGUAGGACAGAAAAACGAUAUGACACUGGACUUAUGGGACGAACACAAGAACACUCGAAACUAAGGGUAGAUUUGAACCUAAUGGUAUAUCUAAAUCUUUGAUUUCCACAUGAUGAGAACAAGGGUGACCCGAUCUUCUGAAAGGUUCUGGUAACUCUUGAUUUGGUGGAGACGAGACACAAAUCGAUCCGGGUUCCGAACAACACGAUCCGAAACCCUACAAUUUUUUUAUUUUUUUGAUAUUUUUAUUUUAGUUAGAGCACCAAUGG
This 8474-nucleotide long non-coding RNA is filed under the name Sorghum bicolor (sorghum). Its description in RNAcentral is "long non-coding RNA (SBIC_LNC012742)". The record is from RNAcentral. Lineage: Eukaryota; Viridiplantae; Streptophyta; Magnoliopsida; Poales; Poaceae.